Molecule: ribosomal RNA, 373 nt
Filed under: Onyxacalles ringeli
Lineage: Eukaryota; Metazoa; Arthropoda; Insecta; Coleoptera; Curculionidae
Description: eukaryotic LSU rRNA
Rfam family: Eukaryotic large subunit ribosomal RNA
Source: RNAcentral
GCUUAUACUCUACGGUCAGCGGCAAGAGCGACGGCGCCGCGCGUUUGCCGUCACCAUGCUCUUACGAGUAGGAGGGUCGCGGCGGUGAGCGCAGAAGGGCUGGCCGCGAGGCCGUCUGGAGUCGCCGCCGGUGCAGAUCUUGGUGGUAGUAGCAAAUACUCCAGCGAGGUCCUGGAGGACUGACGUGGAGAAGGGUUUCGUGUGAACAGCCGUUGCACACGAGUCAGUCGAUCCUAAGCCCUAGGCGAUAUCGAUGCUGUGUAGAUUAAUACAAUUCAAUACAUAAUUUAAUUAAUUCGUUCACACCCGUCGGGCGAAAGCGAAUUCGGUUCCUAUUCCGGAACCUGGCAGCGGAACCUUUAAUAAGUCGGGC